This is a long non-coding RNA of Astatotilapia calliptera (eastern happy), 891 nucleotides long. NCBI's taxonomy places the organism in Eukaryota, Metazoa, Chordata, Actinopteri, Cichliformes, Cichlidae. The record is from Ensembl.
CUCAAGGCAACCAAGGAAGACCAAGGUCAGUACACACAGGGUAGUAAUGGCGUGGACACACCGGUCGACGGCAGACAUGGCACCUGUAUCGCGUCUUCCUGUCCAAGCCUGUGGGGCAGUCAGCACACCUCACUAAGGGACCACUGCUGCCACUGGUCCUGCCUCACCUUCAAGAGUGCCAGGGAUCUGGAAAAUGCAAGUCCCAGGGGCUCUUCUCUUCCUCGUCAUGGGCUCUAUCUCUGCCAAAAAGGUGGGGGAUUUUGGUGUGUUUACUGCUUGCAUCGACACAAAGGAAAAUAACAGUCUCAGAUUGCAGUGCUACUAUCAAGACUGUUCACAACCUCCCUAUAUGCCCUUCAGCUGUGAAUUCAAGACAUCGAAUGGAGGUAUACUGGCUACAAUGAAAAACACGAUGUGCAAGAAUUACACUGUCCCAUUAACAGAACACAGUCUUAGCGAGUUGCAAGAGACUGGUAAUGUGACAAACUUCACAUGCACACUGACAAGAAACAAGAGGACUGAAACGAAGAAUAUCACCAUAGACUACAAGGCACACAAAGAAAAACAACGAGUCCCAAAGUGCUGUGCUGCAAGCCCAACCUCCCUGUGGCCUGUGGUGCUCCUCACUCUGUGGAGAGUCGUUGACUCCUGAUGAAGCAAGCAUGAAGGAGGGUCUCUGAACGCUUUGACUAACACAGAUGUAUCUGUUCCAUUUAGGCAUUUUGAAAUUUAAGAAACUUUCUUAAAUACAUUUCUAUGCAGGCUUCCAUUACUUGCCUGAUCCCCAAGUACAUGCAAUAAUGCAGUAUGUUAACAUAUAAACUGAAUUCCAACUAUGAUAUAUGAUAAUAUGAUAUAUUAAAGACUUAUGAAUUAAAAGCAUUAACUCAC